This 72-nucleotide transfer RNA is filed under the name Salmo salar (Atlantic salmon). It matches the Rfam family "tRNA". Rfam says of the family: Transfer RNA (tRNA) molecules are approximately 80 nucleotides in length. Their secondary structure includes four short double-helical elements and three loops (D, anti-codon, and T loops). The record is from Rfam by way of RNAcentral. Lineage: Eukaryota; Metazoa; Chordata; Actinopteri; Salmoniformes; Salmonidae.
UCCCGUGUGGCUCAGUUGGUAGAGCAUGGUGUUUGCAACACCAGGGUUGUGGGUUUGAUUCCCACGUGGGAC